ACUCCUACGGGAGGCAGCAGGCGCGAAAACUUUACAAUGCCGGCAACGGCGAUAAGGGGACCUCGAGUGCCAGGUUACAAAUCUGGCUGUCGUGAUGCCUAAAAAGCAUUGCAUAGCAAGGGCCGGGCAAGACCGGUGCCAGCCGCCGCGGUAACACCGGCGGCUCGAGUGGUAACCGUUAUUAUUGGGUCUAAAGGGUCUGUAGCCGGCCGGAUAAGUCUCUUGAGAAAUCCAGCAGCUCAACUGUUGGGCUUUCAGGAGAUACUGUUCGGCUCGAGGCCGGGAGAGGUGAGAGGUACUUCAGGGGUAGGGGUGAAAUCUUGUAAUCCUUGAAGGACCACCAGUGGCGAAGGCGUCUCACCAGAACGGACCUGACGGCAAGGGACGAAAGCUAGGGGCACGAACCGGAUUAGAUACCCGGGUAGUCCUAGCCGUAAACGAUACUCGCUAGGUGUCGGCCACGGUGCGACCGUUGUCGGUGCCGUAGGGAGGCCGUGAAGCGAGCCACCUGGGAAGUACGGCCGCAAGGCUGAAACUUAAAGGAAAUUGACGG
This 553-nucleotide ribosomal RNA is filed under the name uncultured bacterium. RNAcentral describes it as "bacterial SSU rRNA". It matches the Rfam family "Archaeal small subunit ribosomal RNA", at positions 319 to 871 of the family's 1478-position model. The record is from RNAcentral.